Molecule: non-coding RNA, 54 nt
Filed under: Dictyostelium purpureum
Lineage: Eukaryota; Evosea; Eumycetozoa; Dictyosteliales; Dictyosteliaceae
Description: Class I RNA from Dictyostelium
Rfam family: Class I RNA from Dictyostelium
Source: Rfam by way of RNAcentral
GAAUUCCUUACAGCAAUUAAAUCAAUUCACUCAUUUGAAAAACCUUGGAUUCUG